AACGAACGCUGGCGGCAGGCCUAACACAUGCAAGUCGAGCGCGCCCUUCGGGGUGAGCGGCGGACGGGUGAGUAACGCGUGGGAAUAUGCCCUUCACUGCGGAAUAGCCUUUGGAAACGAAGAGUAAUACCGCAUACGCCCUUCGGGGGAAAGAUUUAUCGGUGAAGGAUUAGCCCGCGUUGGAUUAGGUAGUUGGUGGGUAAAAGCCUACCAAGCCGACGAUCCAUAGCUGGUUUGAGAGGAUGAUCAGCCACACUGGGACUGAGACACGGCCCAGACUCCUACGGGAGGCAGCAGUGGGGAAUCUUAGACAAUGGGGGAAACCCUGAUCUAGCCAUGCCGCGUGAGUGACGAAGGCCCUAGGGUCGUAAAGCUCUUUCAGCUGUGAAGAUAAUGACGGUAGCAGCAGAAGAAACCCCGGCUAACUCCGUG
Molecule: ribosomal RNA, 432 nt
Filed under: uncultured bacterium
Lineage: Bacteria
Description: bacterial SSU rRNA
Rfam family: Bacterial small subunit ribosomal RNA
Source: RNAcentral